This is a small nuclear RNA of Peromyscus maniculatus bairdii (prairie deer mouse), 102 nucleotides long. The record is from Ensembl. NCBI's taxonomy places the organism in Eukaryota, Metazoa, Chordata, Mammalia, Rodentia, Cricetidae.
UUGCUUUAGGGGUACAUUUACUAAAAGUGAAGGGAUAUGAGAAGACUCGAAUGGCCCUCACCCAAGGAAGACCCACAAAUUCAAGAAGCAUUUGUAUUUUUA